This is a non-coding RNA of Meleagris gallopavo (turkey), 3443 nucleotides long. The record is from RefSeq and is a predicted model, not a curated record. NCBI's taxonomy places the organism in Eukaryota, Metazoa, Chordata, Aves, Galliformes, Phasianidae.
GCCCCCUCAGAAAUUCUUUAUAAACAGCUGUUAAGUGAAGAAAUCACACCAAGAUGGUUGAUUUUUAUUUUAUUUUAUUUUGUAGCGUGGCUACAAGAGGAGAUUUGGGCUUUCCUCUGCUGGGUUUACAUCCAGUAGAUGAAGAAUGGCAAAGGACCGUCCCUUGUGAGAGCCUCUCCCUUGCAGGAGCCAGCAAUGCACAAAGAGCUGCUGUAAAUCAACCUGGCAGCAGCAAUAACAUCUGACAGUGCCAAAAGAGCCCCUCGUUGGCUUUGCUGUCUGGAAAUGCCUGGCCGAUCGCAGGGUUUGUAUUUAUGCUUCUUGGUAAUUUGUCCAUACAUCAGUUUAUUUAUAAGCAGAGCACUUGCCCAGAAAGGGCUGUGUUUUCUUUGGCCACUCCAAGGGUUUCUCUCUGUUUGGUUUCCAAAGCACACACGUGGAAAGUGGAGGAGCGAACUGCUGCACCAGGAAGAGUUAGUCAUUUGUCCAGGAUUAUUUUUCCAGGUGGAUUUUAUAAGAAGCACAAGGCAGGAGGAGGUACAGCGCAACAGAGUCAGCUACAUGAUGUGCAGUUCUGCCCCAUCCUUUAGGAAUGAUCCCCUCAAGUGUGAGAGGACCAGAAGUGAAGAUGAUGAAGGGAGUCAAAAGUCCUCCUUGGGGGGUUUGACAUCUGUGUUCAGGCUCUUGAAGCACACGUUCAGCCACUUGCAAGGGAUGCAGAGCCAGCUUGGCUCUUGGCUGGGCUGGCUGAGAUCCAGAGCUGCUGACCAAAGUGGAGCUGUGCCAGACAGACAGGAACAUGGCUGAAGUCUGUGAUUGCAUGGUAUCCUGUUCUGUCCGUGCCCCUGGGCUGAUGGUUCACCCUCAUACAAACCAGGUCACUUCUGCAGGAGUCCAACACUUCUCCAAAAGAGAACCUGGGAGGUAAUCCAAUGAUGACCACUCCCUGAGAUGAAUGCAGCAGUGAUAAACCCUGCUAGGCAAAUACAGACAGCCUCUUUGUAUACAGUGAGAAAAGUCAUGGAAAUAGAGAAUACAGCGGGAAGAAGAUCUUGACUUUCAGUAAAUCACUGGCUCUGAAAUUUCUUCAGGAUCCUAUGUUGACCUCUGGAGAGAAACUUGUGCACUGAGACACGGUGAAAUGGCUGCAUGCAAAGGUGGUGAGGCUCUGUAUGUUGCUGGUUUGGCUCUCUGAGACUGCAGGAGUGAGCAGAGAGCACAGCUCAAAUGCCUCAUGCAGGAUGUGGAAGAUGAUAGAGCUUUUGUAGAUACAUAGCCCUAGAAUUAUGGCAUAAUGCCAGACCAGGGGAAACCCAGAUGGCCACUGAGAUGCCCAAGAGCAUUUGCAGUGAAAAGGCAAAGAUGGAAGAGCCAGGGAAUAAGAGCUGAUGGCAUGAUGUUACAACCACAGGCACUCCCAGGGCAGCACAUGGAGGCUGAGCUCGGGUCUCCAUGUGCCUGAAGGUUUGUUUUGGGGACAGAAAUAACAGGAUAAAUUGUUUUGAGGAUGAGCAGGUGUGCUUGAGAGUAGCUUUUUUUUUUUUUUUCCCCUAAACAUCCCAAAUAAGGGACACCAUUGACACCAUUUGUCUACGCUUUGGCUGCUUCUCCCACAACUUUGGCAAUUUCUGUCUCAGUGCUGGGCCUGAUGCCUGGACAAAGGGUGAGCCUGCAGCUUGGCAAUGCUGAUUGUCCUGUCUCAGCAUGGAUCUCUCACUCCAGCACAUGCCCCAGUUCUUCGUACAAUCACAGCAGAAGUCUCUCCUCUUGCACUGACCCAACACUCUGGUUUCCAAAGAAGUUUGGGUUUCUCAUCUCAGCCAGUCUCUGCUGGCCCUCUGCUGAGGGUAUAAAUCCCACACUGAUGCUAUUCUGGAGUUUACUGCUGCUGUAUAUGUUACCAGGGGAUGCUUAUAUCAUUUUCUGCUCAGUCCUAUUUAGGACACUUCUUAUUUUUAUAAAGGAAGCUCAAAGUCGAACUCCUCCCCAAAACUCCUUGAGAAGUGUAUUAAGGUGUGACCUAAUUUCUUACAAGUUCUUCCAUUGGGACAUAUUCUUCUCCACAUCCUCCUCCAUCCACUGCAACUCCACAGGGAGCACAUAUCAGUUGUGUUCCCAUCAGCUUGGGGAUCUGCUCCAUCCCUCCUGCUCCCACCAGAUGCCCUAAUUAUGUGUGUGUUGUGAGCAGGUAAGUGCUGUAGGGGAUACUGUGAAGGUGAGCUGGAUGAUGUGACCUCCCUUUUUUUCCUGCCUCAAUGAUAACUUGAAAGAUUUCUUUGCCUUCUGCUGUUUCCCUGCAUUAGUGAAACUUCCCAUAUAAGAGCAGAGCUGGACAAGAAGGUAAGAGCAGAGAGCCUGCAGGGUAGGGAUUGGCCUUGGAGGAAGCCUGGUGGACACCUGGAGGUGAUUUGCUAUUGGCAGCCAAGUGGCUGAAUCCCACUGUGGAAGAGUAAUGACCUUCAUGGAAUCAUACAAUCAUAGAAUCACGAAGGUUGGAAAAGACCUCCAUGCCCAACACCAACCCAUCCCACCAUGCCCACUGACCACGUCCCUCAGAGCCACAUCUCCACAAUGGCUGAACACAUCCACAGAUAGUGACUUCCCCACCUCUUGGCCAGCCUGCACCAGUGCCUCGCCACUCUUUGAGAGAAGAUUUUCUGGAUCUCUAAGAACAUCUUUUGUCUUGCAGUGGGUUUCUUCCUGGCUCUUAAAGGAAGAGAUGGCCUCACUUUACAUCAUCUGUGUCCCAAACCACCCUUUCAGAAGAGACUCUAGCUGUCUAAGAUGUGCACUUAGGCAAUCUUCACUCACAAAAUAACUGUUUACAUUGUAUUUAGAUACUAAAUCUUGAUUCACUCCUGGUUUCUACCUUAGUUUGUCCGUUUCUGCAAUGAAGCAGCAGAAAUUGCUCCAGUUCUUCCAACGAGGCUUAGACCUCAGACAUUAGCAGCCCCUUCCUGGCCAAUAUAAUGUGCCUGGUGUGCCUAGAGGGCAAGAAGGACCGUCCCACUCUGCAGGCAGGAAAGGGGUAUGGAGAGGGCCCUAAUUAUGGCUAAUCCCACCUGUUAGCAGCUGCCCAGAUGCAGCAGGAAGACACUGGGUGGUUGAGAGACCAGAGACAUCACUGAAGAGGAGGAUGGGGAUGUGCUGGGGGUCAGAGCUGCAGUCCUGAGCAGUCUCCUGUGAGUCAAAGAUGGGCACAAGGCCCUGGGUUGGAUGAAGCCUUGAUCCACGCUGGCAAUGCAGUUCCCUCAAACUCCCAAGAGUGCUGCAAGCGUUUACAUACAGUAGCACCACUUCUGCCAAGAUAAUAUCUACAGUAAUAUGACAAGGCAGCAGAAUUUAAGUGGGUGUAUGUUGCCUCUCUUCACCCUGAGCAGUUUUUUCUGCUGAUAGGACCUUGCUAAUUUGCUUCCAUCAGAAGAAUAAAUGAAUCAACCGAG